AGUGAACGCUGGCGGUAGGCCUAACACAUGCAAGUCGAACGGCAGCACAGUAAGAGCUUGCUCUUACGGGUGGCGAGUGGCGGACGGGUGAGGAAUACAUCGGACUCUACUUUUUCGUGGGGGUUAACGUAGGGAAACUUACGCUAAUACCGCAUACGACCUACGGGUUAAAUCAUGGGAUCUUCGGACCUUGCGCGAUUGAAUGAGCCGAUGUCGGAUUAGCUAGUUGGCGGGGUAGAGGCCCACCAAGGCGCCGAUCCGUAGCUGGUCUGAGAGGAUGAUCAGCCACACUGGAACUGAGACACGGUACAGACUCCUACGGGAGGCAGCAGUGGGGAAUAUUGGACAAUGGGCGCAAGCCUGAUCCAGCCAUACAGCGUGGGUGAAGAAGGCCUUCGGGUUGUAAAGCCCUUUUGUUGGGAAAGAAAAGCAGCAGGUUAAGACCCCGCUGUUCUGACGGUACCCAAAGAAUAAGCACCGGCUAACUUCGUG
Molecule: ribosomal RNA, 492 nt
Filed under: uncultured bacterium
Lineage: Bacteria
Description: partial 16S ribosomal RNA
Rfam family: Bacterial small subunit ribosomal RNA
Source: RNAcentral